Molecule: ribosomal RNA, 492 nt
Filed under: uncultured bacterium
Lineage: Bacteria
Description: partial 16S ribosomal RNA
Rfam family: Bacterial small subunit ribosomal RNA
Source: RNAcentral
AGUGAACGCUGGCGGUAGGCCUAACACAUGCAAGUCGAACGGCAGCACAGUAAGAGCUUGCUCUUACGGGUGGCGAGUGGCGGACGGGUGAGGAAUACAUCGGAAUCUACUUUUUCGUGGGGGAUAACGUAGGGAAACUUACGCUAAUACCGCAUACGACCUACGGGUGAAAGCAGGGGAUCUUCGGACCUUGCGCGAUUGAAUGCGCCGAUGUCGGAUUAGCUAGUUGGCGGGGUAAAGGCCCACCAAGGCGACGAUCCGUAGCUGGUCUGAGAGGAUGGUCACCGACACUGGAACUGAGACACGGUCCAGACGCCUACGGGAGGCAGCAGUGGGGAAUAGUGGACAAUGGGCGCAAGCCUGAUCCAGCCAUACCGCGUGGGUGGAGAAGGCCUUCGGGUUGUAAAGCCCUUUUGUUGGGAAAGAAAAGCAGCAGGUUAAUACCCCGCUGUUCUGACGGUACCCAAAGAAUAAGCACCGGCUAACUUCGUG